GUGAGGAAUAUUGGACAAUGGAUGGAAAUCUGAUCCAGCCAUGCCGCGUGCAGGAAGACGGCCCUAUGGGUUGUAAACUGCUUUUAUACGGGAGCAAUAAGGUCUAUGCAUAGAUUGAUGAGAGUACCGUAUGAAUAAGCAUCGGCUAACUCCGUGCCAGCAGCCGCGGUAAUACGGAGGAUGCGAGCGUUAUCCGGAUUUAUUGGGUUUAAAGGGUGCGUAGGCAGCUUUGUAAGUCAGCGGUGAAAUUUUGCAGCUUAACUGUAAAAGCGCCGUUGAUACUGUGAAGCUAGGAUUUGGUUGCUGUGGGCGGAAUGUGUGGUGUGCGGUGAAAUGCAUAGAGAUCACACAGAAUAUCGAUUGCGAAGGCAGCUCACAAAGCCAAUAUUGACGCUGAGGCACGAAAGUGUGGGGAUCAAACAGGAUUAGAAACCCCGGUAGUCC
RNAcentral lists this ribosomal RNA (444 nucleotides) under uncultured bacterium. Its description in RNAcentral is "partial 16S ribosomal RNA". It matches the Rfam family "Bacterial small subunit ribosomal RNA", at positions 354 to 796 of the family's 1533-position model. The record is from RNAcentral.